GGGCGAAAGUGGCGGAAUUGGCAGACGCGCAGGAUUCAGGAUCCUGUGGGGUAAAACCCGUGGGGGUUCAAGUCCCCCCUUCACUCU
This 87-nucleotide transfer RNA is filed under the name Desulfurellaceae bacterium. RNAcentral describes it as "tRNA-Leu". The stretch from base 7 to 81 matches the Rfam family "tRNA", at positions 5 to 66 of the family's 71-position model. From Rfam's summary of the family: Transfer RNA (tRNA) molecules are approximately 80 nucleotides in length. Their secondary structure includes four short double-helical elements and three loops (D, anti-codon, and T loops). Lineage: Bacteria; Pseudomonadati; Campylobacterota; Desulfurellia; Desulfurellales; Desulfurellaceae. The record is from RNAcentral.